GAGGGCAAAGCCAAAAAGAGGCAAACCCCUGUUACGGGUUGUAUUGGGCAAUACCUGCUUUCA
RNAcentral lists this transfer RNA (63 nucleotides) under Eurydice pulchra. RNAcentral's name for it is "tRNA-Asn". Lineage: Eukaryota; Metazoa; Arthropoda; Malacostraca; Isopoda; Cirolanidae. The record is from RNAcentral.